GAAAUGAGGAUGAGAUGCUUCCGGCAUGGUGGUUGGAUCUCGCCACCCUGGAGGGUACAAUAAUAGGUGGAGGAUCUGACUCCCCCCACCGAUGACGGGACGUACUUCCUUCGGGGAGUGUUGUACCGUGGCCGGUGACGGCCCUUAGGACUCAACCACAGUUCCCGCCAAUUACUGUUGCGGCGGUCCGGUCAUUCAGUUCUAUGGUUUAAAUCCGUGUGCCUUAGGGCGGGUCGGAGAGUUAGAAGGUUGACUUAUUUAUGAAAUAAAGAAUUGAUUUUCCUCUCUAGCAUUGUGAAAAUCUAGACAAAGUGAAGCAUCGAUACCAAUUCCAAAAUAGUUGUUCAUCACAAAAAUGGCUGUGUUGUCUUGAGAACUCCCAGGAUUGCUUCCAGAUGUAUCCUCUUUUUCAUCCACAUGAAAGACCACUGUCCACCUAAAGAUAACAUGAAGAAAAAUCUUCAAUGACAUCUUUAAGGAUAUUCAGGGGUUCUUCCCCUCCAGUAUAUCCUGGUCCCCAUCUCAGCACCCGAGCAAGAUCAUUUCCAGUUCCUAAAGGUAGGAUAGCACAUGGAGGAGAUUGGCAUUCCGAAU
Molecule: long non-coding RNA, 594 nt
Organism: Argiope bruennichi
Lineage: Eukaryota; Metazoa; Arthropoda; Arachnida; Araneae; Araneidae
Exons: 3
Source: RefSeq, a predicted model, not a curated record